Molecule: ribosomal RNA, 461 nt
Filed under: uncultured bacterium
Lineage: Bacteria
Description: bacterial SSU rRNA
Rfam family: Bacterial small subunit ribosomal RNA
Source: RNAcentral
UACGGGAGGCAGCAGUGGGGAAUAUUGCACAAUGGGCGAAAGCCUGAUGCAGCUAUGCCGCGUGUAUGAAGAAGGCCUUAGGGUUGUAAAGUACUUUCAUCGGGGAGGAAAAACAAAACUAAUAAUUUUAUUUCUUGACGUUACCCGAAAAAGAAGCACCGGCUAACUCCGUGCCAGCAGCCGCGGUAAUACGGAGGGUGCUAGCGUUAAUCAGAAUUACUGGGCGUAAAGAGCACGUAGGUGGUUUUUUUAAAGUCAGAUGUGAAAUCCCUGGGCUUAACCUAGGAACUGCAUUUUGAAACUGAAAUACUAGAGUAUCGUAGAGGGAGGUAGAAUUCUAGGUGUAGCGGUGAAAUGCGUAGAUAUCUGGAGGAAUACCUGUGGCGAAAGCGGCCUCCGUAAACGAAGUACUGACACUGAGGUGCGAAAGCGUGGGGAGCAAACAGGGAUUAGAUACCCGU